AGAUUGAACGCUGGCGGCGUGCCUAACACAUGCAAGUCGAGCGGUAACAGGUGUAGCAAUACAUGCUGACGAGCGGCGAACGGGUGAGUAAUGCUUUGGAAUCUUCCCAGUAGUGGGGAAUAACCAGUCGAAAGAUUGGCUAAUACCGCAUACGUCUGUAAAGGGAAAGCGGGGGCUCGUAAGACCUCGCGCUAUUGGAUGAGCCAAAGUCGGAUUAGCUAGUUGGUGGGGUAAUGGCCUACCAAGGCGACAAUCCGUAGCUGGUCUGAGAGGACGACCAGCCACACCGGAACUGAGACACGGUCCGGACUCCUACGGGAGGCAGCAGUGGGGAAUAUUGGACAAUGGGGGAAACCCUGAUCCAGCGACGCCGCGUGUGUGAAGAAGGCCUGCGGGUUGUAAGCACUUUUAGUGGGGACAAAAGCUACGGAUUAAUACUCUGUGGUCUUGAUUUAACCCAAAGAAAAGCACCGGCUAACUCUGUGCCAGCAGCCGC
RNAcentral lists this ribosomal RNA (496 nucleotides) under uncultured bacterium. Its description in RNAcentral is "SSU rRNA". It matches the Rfam family "Bacterial small subunit ribosomal RNA", at positions 26 to 518 of the family's 1533-position model. The record is from RNAcentral.